Molecule: ribosomal RNA, 864 nt
Filed under: uncultured Mycoplasma sp.
Lineage: Bacteria; Bacillati; Mycoplasmatota; Mollicutes; Mycoplasmatales; Mycoplasmataceae
Description: bacterial SSU rRNA
Rfam family: Bacterial small subunit ribosomal RNA
Source: RNAcentral
AACUAUGUGCCAGCAGCUGCGGUAAUACAUAGGUCGCGAGCGUUAUUCGGAUUUAUUGGGCGUAAAGCAAGCGCAGGCGGACAGAUAAGUUUUGUGUUAAAAGCAGUUGCUCAACAAUUGUUUGCGCUGAAUACUGUCUGUCUAGAAUACGGUAGGAAGUUUUGGAAUUGAAUAUGGAGCGGUGGAAUGUGUAGAUAUAUUCAAGAACACCAGAGGCGAAGGCGAAAACUUAGGCCGCUAUUGACGCUUAGGCUUGAAAGUGUGGGGAGCAAAUGGGAUUAGAUACCCCAGUAGUCCACACUGUAAACGAUGGAUAUUAGAUGUUGGGGCUUGUGCCUCAGCGUUGUAGCUUACGUAUUAAAUAUCCCGCCUGGGUAGUACAUAUGCAAAUAUGAAACUCAAAGGAAUUGACGGGGACCUGAACAAGUGGUGGAACAUGUUGCUUAAUUCGAUAAUACACGAAAAACCUUACCAAGGUUUGACAUCCCCCGCGAAGCUAUAGAAAUAUAGUGGAGGUUAUCGGGGUGACAGGUGGUGCAUGGCUGUCGUCAGCUCGUGUCAUGAGAUGUUUGGUUAAGUCCCGCAACGAGCGCAACCCUACUCUUUAGUUAGUUGUCUAAAGAGACUGAACAGUAAUGUAUAGGAAGGUUGGGAUCACGUCAAGUCAUCAUGCCCCUUAUGCCUUGGGCCGCAAACGUGUUACAAUGGCGAGUACAACGUGCCGCAAACCAGCGAUGGUAAGCUAAUCACUAAAAGCUCGUCUCAGUCCGGAUAAAAGGCUGCAAUUCGCCUUUUUGAAGUUGGAAUCACUAGUAAUCCCGUGUCAGCUAUAUCGGGGUGAAUACGUUCCCAGGUCUUGUACAC